CUCCCCUGCUUCAGCUUGAGCUCAGUUAUAACGGCUUUUUCACUCCAUCCCCACACUGAGCAGCAGCACUAAAUAUGCCUUCAGAGUAAACACUGGCGGGCAGGCGUUGCCAGCUCUGCUCGCCAGCAGCCUCUCUUUAGCCUCAUUCACAACAGAGAUUUUGCCGGCACUCUGAUGGCGCCUUGGGUCCAUUGCAUACCUGUCUGCUAAGGCAGCAAUGGGCAACUCACUUGCCAGGUCAGUCACUGGGCUGGUCAAAAAGAGGUUUGGGCAGAUGAUCCCUUUCCACAAUCUGACUGUGUGUUCAUCUCUGUGCCUGGCAUUCAAUGGCCACUGUUUUGCUAAGAACACACCACCCUUUAGGACAGCAACGGAUUCAAGCAACCCCAGGGACACAGUUGAGGUCCAAUUUAUCCCAGUGGUUUUCUAUUAACUGCCAGCUUUGGAAUGUGGAAUACCACGGGGGGACGGGGACGUAAAACAGAGGCUACAUCCUCUGUCACGCCAUAAGCUCUUAUGAUAGUCACCUUAAAUGGCCAGCGUCAGUCAGCAAUGACAGGAGCCAUCUUAGCGUGAGAUUCAAGAAGGACACUGACAAACUGGAACGUGUCCAGAGGAGGGCAACCAAAAUGGUCAAAGGCCUGGAAACGAUGCCUUAUGAGGAACGGCUAAGGGAGCUGGGCAUGUUUAGCCUGGAGAAGAGGAGGUUAAGGGGUGAUAUGAUAGCCAUGUUCAAAUAUAUAAAAGGAUGUCACAUAGAGGAGGGAGAAAGGUUGUUUUCUGCUGCUCCAGAGAAGUGGACACGGAGCAAUGGAUCCAAACUACAAGAAAGAAGAUUCCACCUAAACAUUAGGAAGAACUUCCUGACAGUAAGAGCUGUUCGACAGUGGAAUUUGCUGCCAAGGAGUGUGGUGGAGUCUCCUUCUUUGAAGGUCUUUAAGCAGAGGCUUGACAACCAUAUGUCAGGAGUGCUCUGAUGGUGUUUCCUGCUUGGCAGGGGGUUGGACUCGAUGGCCCUUGUGGUCUCUUCCAACUCUAUGAUUCUAUGAUUCUAUGAAUCUCUGUGCACGAUACGGGCAAAGGGAGGGUCAACUUAACUUUCUGGGGCUGCUAGAGAUGUGUUUGGUCAAUGGAUGAGCAGCCAAUGAAAUGGCUUUCUUGCCUCGGAAAGACGCUGCGGACCUGCUCAGUCAGCAAAGCGUGAGACCCUUAAUCUCAGGGUCGUAAGUUUGGACUAGAUAACCCCUUCCAACUCUACAAUUCUAUGAUUCUGCUAAUUCUAAUUCCCCUCAGAAAGCGUGAGGGGUGUGUGGGAACCCACUGGCAGUGCUCCAGCACGGAUACCCCUGUUGGGCAAGUCCUUCACAGACUGCAUGUUCCACAUUAAAAAGAAAGAGCCUGAAGUGUAUAUAGCAACAUACACAUGAAACCCUUUGGUAUAUAAAUGUAUUAGAGAAAUAUAAUAUCUAUUUUUGAGACCCAGAUGUUGUGGAAAGUAGGUUGUAAUUUUAAAAAAUAAUAAACAAAUGUUACAUUUAAAAAUCAGCUUGCGGGCGGCUUGCCUCUCCCUUCCUUCUGUUGCUUUACUGUUUUGGAUGCUCCCCCUGCUCCUGCCUUCAUUCUCCCUCUUGAGACCACACCCACUCAAUAUCCAUGUAAUUAGCGCAACCCUGCCAUAUAGAUGUAUGUGCAGAGACAUAUAUAGUCCCCGCUCACGUGUGUCACACCCAGAGCCCUCUGUAAACUGUACCGAAGCCAAACGUUUAGAUGCUUCAGAGAAACCCUUUCAGUAGAUGCGUCACUGAGGUGGAUGUACACAAAGAGGUGAGAUCUCUGAAACACCCACAUUUAUAAGUAGCAGUGGCCAAGUUAAAUACAGUUAGAUCUAGCUGAGUCUUCCUUCUUGGCUCAGAAACGAUUAUACCUCGCAGCGCUUGGGGAGUAAAUAAUUAGCCCUAAUUUGGCUAUAUUUAACCACACAAACCGCAAACCUGUCUCUAAUGUGGCUGCCUUGAUAUGUGAUAUAGCUUGAAUGGGAACAUUUUGUACAAGGCACUGUUCAGAAAGUAGCUUCUCCGGUUUUCAGGUGUUAUGUCACACAAUACCUCUCCGUUAGACUAUUUUGACAGAUUUCGGUGGUCUUAAAAUGGGGUGGUCUUUAUGCAUCCAUGAGGGGAAUGGGAAAGGACCCCAUCAUUUGCUUGUUAAUUUUUGUAUACUAUUGCGAUCACACCAUUUCUAUAAUAAAUAAAUUAAGUGAAAUGAAUCAAGAAGCAGAGCAGUGGGGUUACUAGGGCUGCAAAAAGGAAGCAAUUAAUUAAAAGAAUUACUGUAUAUAGGAAAUACCUGGAAAUGGAGAAUUAAAGGGACAGUAGCCAUGAUCAGCUGCUGAACUGAACUUACUGCAGAGUAAGCAUAUUCAGUGGUCUUUUUUUUUUUUUGGAUUAUAAAAAAAAGUGAAGUGCUGCUACUCUUGUAUUGAUAAAAGUGCUGUGGGUGCCAGCACAAAAUGGCCGCUGUGGGCAGCAAAAAAAAAAAUAGGUGAGUACAAAAAAGAGUUGCGAGUAUAUUGGGGCCUUUCCUGUGCAGGCUGGCAUUUUAGGGAUCAUUAUGAGGCCCCCUCAUGGUAAAUGAAGGGCUCGUCCACACCAGAGUGGAGGAAUCAGGAUACAAAUUACUUGUUCCAGUUUGUUGUGGUGGGUUGGCCAAUUGUCGCUUUCUUUCACUCCCCUUUCCACACACAUUACUUCCUUGGUGCUUUAGUUUCUUCACCGGUCUUGCUCAUAACUAUUUCCUGAAUAAAGAAAUGUAGAUGUGUUUAUAUUCACCACCACUUUUGGAUCCCUCUGAUUUGCACAAAACCAGAAAACCACAGUGAAACCACACUAAAAAUUUCUACGCCAGAUACCCCCAAAAAUGUGUGUGCUGAGAAUUUACAAUUGCUUUAAUCAUUUAUAAUUGCCUCACAGCUGUCUGUACACAUGCCCUAUCCGUAUUUAAUCGUCAUAAUAUAAUCAACAAAUCAGAAGGGAGGGAUAAACACAAAAGGGUACAAACCUACUGGUACAAACAGGAAAAAAUGAAGUUGCUCCUCGUAUACAAAUUCAAAUACAUGCAGGUGUGGUCUACUCCGGUCUAAUUCUAAUGGGCAAAAGAUGGAUUAAAUCAUGCUAAAAUGUGGGCAAGCCCAAAGGUCCUUGUGGAAUCAUUGCUUUAAUUCUGUUUUCCAGCUGACUGCAGAAGAGUAAUGCAUCAGCGUCACUAAAGAGCCCUAAUUGUGAACCACUUAUGAAUUCCGUCAAGUGAUAUUCAGAGAGGCAUACUUCCUCCAACAGAGGAAGCACAACAUAGACAUCCUGUCCAGGAGCCAUUAAUACCCUCAUCCUCCUUAUCCUCUUCAGACUGUGACUGAACGCAGACUCAAUUCAUGACUUCAGCACCAGCCAACCUUUCCCCCUCCAUUUUGUUUACCGUAUAGCCCAAUGAAGAGUUCUGGAGAGCUCUAAAGCUUGAACAUCACUUAGUAACAUGUUGGUUGGCCUAAUAAAUGUAUCACGCCAAUGUGGAUUUUGGAAUGUUUAUUAAUGGCAAGAAGACCUGCUUUCAAAUAAGCUAUAACCAACACAGAGAA
Molecule: non-coding RNA, 3631 nt
Organism: Podarcis lilfordi (Lilford's wall lizard)
Lineage: Eukaryota; Metazoa; Chordata; Lepidosauria; Squamata; Lacertidae
Source: the annotation of a GenBank genome assembly